UAGGGAAUCUUCCGCAAUGGGCGAAAGCCUGACGGAGCAACGCCGCGUGAGUGAUGAAGGUCUUCGGAUCGUAAAACUCUGUUAUUAGGGAAGAACAAAUGUGUAAGUAACUAUGCACGUCUUGACGGUACCUAAUCAGAAAGCCACGGCUAACUACGUGCCAGCAGCCGCGGUAAUACGUAGGUGGCAAGCGUUAUCCGGAAUUAUUGGGCGUAAAGCGCGCGUAGGCGGUUUUUUAAGUCUGAUGUGAAAGCCCACGGCUCAACCGUUGAGGGUCAUUGGAAACUGGAAAACUUGAGUGCAGAAGAGGAAAGUGGAAUUCCAUGUGUAGCGGUGAAAUGCGCAGAGAUAUGGAGGAACACCAGUGGCGAAGGCGACUUUCUGGUCUGUAACUGACGCUGAUGUGCGAAAGCGUGGGGAUCAAACAGG
This 429-nucleotide ribosomal RNA is filed under the name Actinomycetes bacterium. RNAcentral describes it as "Actinobacteria bacterium partial 16S ribosomal RNA". It matches the Rfam family "Bacterial small subunit ribosomal RNA", at positions 355 to 776 of the family's 1533-position model. The record is from RNAcentral. Lineage: Bacteria; Bacillati; Actinomycetota; Actinomycetes.